RNAcentral lists this long non-coding RNA (1946 nucleotides) under Callithrix jacchus (white-tufted-ear marmoset). RNAcentral describes it as "lncRNA (ENSCJAG00000085457.1)". Lineage: Eukaryota; Metazoa; Chordata; Mammalia; Primates; Cebidae. The record is from RNAcentral.
AUGAAAACAUCGAUUUCCUCAAUACAGCCAACUCUGUUUAUCUUCUUCACUCUAUCAUUCCUUUUUUCACAGAACCUGGACAAUGAGUCCACUUACAGUAUCAGCUUUAGGCCCAGCAUGAAUGCAGUACAUUCUUUCACUAAAAAGGCAUUGGUUCACAAUAGAAUAAAAAUAUAUUUUUCCUGCUUUUACUCAUGUUUCAAUGUGUGGCUCUGGAGCUAUUCAUGAAUUUGUGUUUUUCUGCAGUAGUUGCAAUGGCAGCUGAGAAAUAUUUUGCAAUGAAAAGAAAUUCAUUUUACUCUUUUAUAUGAAUAUGUGUGUUAUGUUCACUAUCUAAUGUUGCAUGACAAAAUCAUCCUGUAACCUAGUGUCUUAAAACAUCAAUAAUCAUUUAUUGUCUCUCACCAUUUCUGAUCAUCAGAAAUUCAAGAAUUGUUUGGCUGCACUAUUCUGGUUUUAAAUGUCUCAUGAGGUUGUAAUCAAAUGUCAACUAAGUCUACAGUUAUCUGAAAGUUUGACUGAGGCUGGAAAAUCUACUUCCAAAAUGACUCACUGACAUAUCUGGCAAGUUGGUGCUGGGUGUUGGCAGGAAACCUCAUUUUCUCUCUAUGUGGGCCUCUCUUCCUGAGCUAUUUGAAUGUUUCAUGUCAUGCUUGCCAGCUUCCUCCAAAGCAGGCAAUCUCAGAUUAAGAGAGAAGCUUCAAUGAAUUCUGUGAUCUUAAUUUGGAAGUCAUGCAGCAUCUUUUCCACCAUAUUCUUAUUGGUCAUACAGAAGCCCUGAUUCAGUGUGACAGUAGACUACACAAUGGUAGGAAUACCAGGAGGUAAGGACAAUCGGAAGCCAUCUUAGAAGCUGGUGUAUUAGUCAGGGUUCUCUAGAGGGACAGAACUAAUAGGAUAGAUGUAUAUAUGUAUAUGAAGUGGAGUUUAUUAAGGAGUUAUUAUUGACUCACGAUCACAAGAUAAAGUCUCACAAUAGGCCGCCUGCAAGCUGAGCAGAAAGGAAGCCAGUCUGAGUCCCAAAACAUCAGAAGUAAGGAAGCCAACAGUGCAGCCUUCAGUCUUUGGCUAACAGCCCAAGAGCCCAUGGAAAAACCACUGUUGUAAGUCUGAGAGUCCGAGAGCUGAAGAACUUGGACUCUGAGGGCAGGAAGCAUCCAGCAUGGGAGAAAGAUGGAGGCCAGAAGACUCAGCAAGUCAAGUCCUUCCAGCUUCUGCUUGCUUUAUCCUAGCUGCACUGGCAGCUGAUUAGAUGGUGCCCACUCAGACUGAGGGUGGGUCUGUCUAUCCCAGUCCACUGACUCAAUGUUAAUCUCCUUUGGCAACAUCCUCACAGACACCCAGAAACAAUACUCUUCAUCCUUCAAUCCAAUCAAGUUGAUGCAGUGUUAACCAUCAUAGCUGGCUACUGCAUAGGUUUAGAUACAAUGCAUAUUAACCAUGACAACAAUUUUUUAAAAAUCUUUUAGAAAUGGGGUCUUGCUAUAUUGCCCAGGCUGGAAUGCAGUGGCUAUUCACAAGUGCAAUCAUAAUGCACUACAGCCUCAAAUUCCUGGCAUCCCAUCUUCAGCCUACCAAGUAGCUGAGAUUAUAGGUGCAUGCCACUAUGCCUGGCCUGACAUCAAUUUUUUAUAUGGGAAAAUAGAUAUUGAACAUGAUAAUGCAAAAUAUUAGCUGGGCUAGUGCAUGCACCUGUAGUCUCUGCUACUCUAGAGACUGACAUAUGAGGAUUGCUUGAGCCCUGGAUUUUGAGGCUGCAUGAGCUGUGAUUGUGCCACUGAAUUCCAGCCUGGGUGACGGAGCAAGACUCUGACUCUAAAACAACAACAAAAAUAAUAAAUAAUUGAUGAUUUGCUGAAAUGUGCACCAGAAAGUAAACAUAUAAAAUAUAUGAAUUAUUAUUGUCUUUAUUAUAUCACUCCUGGGCUCAAGUGAUCAUUCUGCCU